AUUAUUUCUAAAGUAAUUUUGAGCUUCUUUUUGUUUAAACCUUUUAUUUACACCCCUAAUAUUCCAAAAGAUCCACUUCAUUGAGUAUUGCUAGUUUCCCCUUCAUCCAGGGGAUGAUCAGCCCACCUAACUGUCCCAACUUCAAAUCUGUUAGACAUCACAAGAGGAGAUAAGGGAGGGAAAUUAGCAAUGUUAAAGACUGGGGAGUCUUGAACAACCUGCUUCUCUCUGUUCCUAACAUCAGCUGUAGCUAUAGUGUUUGUCUCCUUAGUUACUUCUUGACACUGGAUGUGAGGCAUCUGGUUAUUUUGGACUACUAUGACUAGUGCUUUCACUCUCCAUUCUUGUGUCACCUUACUUUUCUGUGUAUGUUGAGCAGUUUUAGCCAAACAGUUGUGUCCAACCUCCAAACAUUUCUCACAAUACAUAGGUUUCCACUCAUAAAUCACAUCCUGUAUGAAACUCUUUCCAUUUGGAUCUAGAAUCUCUAUUUCACUAGGUAACUUUUUU
RNAcentral lists this long non-coding RNA (510 nucleotides) under Nicotiana benthamiana. Its description in RNAcentral is "long non-coding RNA (NBEN_LNC023412)". The record is from RNAcentral. Lineage: Eukaryota; Viridiplantae; Streptophyta; Magnoliopsida; Solanales; Solanaceae.